This is a long non-coding RNA of Eptesicus fuscus (big brown bat), 1827 nucleotides long. RefSeq lists it as uncharacterized. The record is from RefSeq and is a predicted model, not a curated record. The transcript is spliced from 3 exons. Lineage: Eukaryota; Metazoa; Chordata; Mammalia; Chiroptera; Vespertilionidae.
GGACCCCUCUGGCUCCUUCUAGACUCCUGCGUCUCGGACUCCAUGAUACUCCCCUGUGCUCGGCACUGAAUUGUGAGCUCUCAGGCUGCCGCCACCCAGAUGCCCUCUCACCGGGCUCCAUUUCUCGUCCUUCCAUCUCCCUCAGCUCCCGCUCCGGCCCCAGCCGUAUCUUUACAGCAGUCGCCAUGGUCCUCACACCACAUGCAGAACACGGCCCUGCUUUCCUCCGGGCAGAUGGCAGGCGAUUUCCCUCCACCCACGCCCUGGAUGUGCGGGUCUGUCACUGAAGGGCCGCAUGGCCCCGGGUUCCUCUCAUUAUGGCGCCGGGUCCCAGACACUUACUUGUCCUGCAGCCAUCAGAGGGAAUUAAAAUGAACAGCCGCCCUGACGUGAGGGGAGCCGGCCCAAGACGCCCAUGGUUACCCACUCACAGCAGGAAACUCGCAAUCAAAUUCUAACAAAAGGUCACAUUUGCAAUAAGUAAAAAGGAAAUGUAGGUAAUUGGUUCUGGAGCCCGUUAAUACCUCUGCAGCCCUGAGAGGCAAUCUGAUGGACUUGAAACCUUUUUGUUCAGCGGAAGUGACCUGGGCCGUGACUGCACAGCAGCGAUGUUCGUGGCCGGUUCUAUGAGGGGACUGCAUGGCUGUGUCCUCGGACCUUACACAGAUGCUGCUGCAAGUUCUCCAGUGUCACCACAGGCCCCCCCAUGCGUCGUGGGAAUCUCAUCGUUUAUAUAAACCAAGGUGAAACGCCACAUCUAAAAAAAUACAGACAUUCACGGAGACUUUGAGGACAGGCAGUGUGAGAACACAGUGCCUCUCCAUGUGGACCCAGGACUCAACCUAAAACAACCAGUGCAAGCACUUGGCAAAACGAGGAGGCCACAGGACAGGGGCUGGCAGUGCACUGGUCCAGAGGAGCUCGUCUUACAGGGGAACCGGCAAAGUCCAGCUUCAAGUUUUUGAAGCCAAAUUCAUCUGAAUGUAAACCGGCUUGGUUUGGAGUCUCUCCUUAGGAGCCUGGAGUAGCAGCUCCAUCCUGAAGGUGGCUUUCUCAAAGAAACCGUUGGAUUUUCCUCUCCACAUGGGACUUCCUCUCGAUUCAUAAGAAGUAAUUUGGACAGUGACUUAAAUAAUUUCUGAGAUAAAGAAGGCAUGAUGGAAUCACCGUGGUAACUGCAGCUUGGCUCACAAAGGCAUCGAUCUCACAUGUGACACUUGUGUUGACUUUUAGGAAGGAUGGCACAGCAGUCCUACCUGUGCCACUGGCAGUGAUGACAAACCAUUUUUGAUGGGUGAUUUAUUUUUCAUGGCGAUGGUGUUCUCUAGUGUCUGAUUAGAGGAGCAGCUCAUUCUUCCUAUUUUCAAGUGGAAUAGAUUUUUGAGGAAGAUUUCAGCUCACCUGGGGGUUUGGAUCAGAAAAAUUCUGUGGCUUAUAAAGUCAUUUGUUCUUUUGCUGUGAUUGUAUUCACAGCAGAAGGGUGAGCGAAAGGUCAGCAAUAACUCUGCUGUUGCAUUUUAGCUGGAAAAAAUGUAAUAUUGAUCCAUAAGAAAAUGGAGAAGCUCAAGUGUGAGGCCUCACUUGAUCUUCUGCGACCUUUCCCCCACCAUGUUGAUUUUACGCUUAAAUGUUAUGUCUCCUGUUCAAAAGGUUUGUCCUGUUUAGUCUCCUAUUUAAUUAGUACAUCGUCGUCUUCACUCUCUCUAAUGUGGCAACAAGAUGUCUCCUUGGUUCCUUGUUGGACCAUCAUUCUUGCUUGAUAUUUUCUCUGCCAUUGAAACUGGCUUAUAUAGAAUCCCACCAAUGGCACCUGACACCUCUGUCUUC